Molecule: ribosomal RNA, 279 nt
Filed under: uncultured bacterium
Lineage: Bacteria
Description: partial 16S ribosomal RNA
Rfam family: Bacterial small subunit ribosomal RNA
Source: RNAcentral
UGCCAGCCGCCGCGGUAAGGCGUAGGGACCGAGCGUUGUCCGGAUUUAUUGGGCGUAAAGGGCUCGUAGGCGGUUCGAUCAGUCGGGUGUGAAAGCCCCGGGCUCAACCCGGGAACUGCAUUCGAUACUGUCGAGCUUGAGUGUGGUAGAGGGAAGCGGAAUUCCCGGUGUAGCGGUGAAAUGCGUAGAUAUCGGGAAGAACACCAGUGGCGAAGGCGGCCUCCUGGACCAACACUGACGCUGAGGCGCGAAAGCGUGGGGAGCAAACAGGAUUAGAUA